UGAGGAUGAUGAUGAUGAUGAUGAUGAUGAUGAGGCAUUCACCUAACAGCUGACAAUGAUGGCUGUGUACAUGAAACAAACGGGAAAUAUCAUCAUCAUCAUCAUCAUCAUCAUCA
This 116-nucleotide microRNA precursor is filed under the name Bigelowiella natans CCMP2755. Its description in RNAcentral is "miRNA EPrBNAG00000013453". Lineage: Eukaryota; Cercozoa; Chlorarachniophyceae. The record is from RNAcentral.